RNAcentral lists this ribosomal RNA (449 nucleotides) under uncultured bacterium. Its description in RNAcentral is "partial 16S ribosomal RNA". It matches the Rfam family "Bacterial small subunit ribosomal RNA", at positions 29 to 523 of the family's 1533-position model. The record is from RNAcentral.
AACGAACGCUGGCGGCAGGCUUAACACAUGCAAGUCGAACGGUGUAGCAAUACACAGUGGCGCACGGGUGAGUAACGCGUGGAAACGUGCCCUUCAGUACGGAAUAACGUCGGGAAACUGACGCUAAUACCGUAUAUUCCCUCCGGGGGAAAGAUUUAUCGCUGAAGGAUCGGCCCGCGUUAGAUUAGGUAGUUGGUGGGGUAAUGGCCUACCAAGCCUACGAUCUAUAGCUGGUCUGAGAGGAUGAUCAGCCACACUGGAACUGAGACACGGUCCAGACUCCUACGGGAGGCAGCAGUGGGGAAUAUUGGACAAUGGGGGAAACCCUGAUCCAGCCAUGCCGCGUGAGUGAUGAAGGCCUUAGGGUUGUAAAGCUCUUUUGUCAGGGAAGAUGAUGACGGUACCUGAAGAAUAAGCACCGGCUAACUUCGUGCCAGCCGCCGCCGUAA